RNAcentral lists this transfer RNA (80 nucleotides) under Ovis aries (sheep). It matches the Rfam family "tRNA". From Rfam's summary of the family: Transfer RNA (tRNA) molecules are approximately 80 nucleotides in length. Their secondary structure includes four short double-helical elements and three loops (D, anti-codon, and T loops). The record is from Rfam by way of RNAcentral. Lineage: Eukaryota; Metazoa; Chordata; Mammalia; Artiodactyla; Bovidae.
UCUCUGGUGGCUCAGUGGUAAAGAAUCUGCCUGCAAUGCAGGAGACGCAGGAGAAUUGGGUUCGAUCCCUGGCUGGGGAA